Molecule: ribosomal RNA, 23 nt
Filed under: Rosulabryum bornholmense
Lineage: Eukaryota; Viridiplantae; Streptophyta; Bryopsida; Bryales; Bryaceae
Description: partial 18S ribosomal RNA
Source: RNAcentral
GUGAACCUUGCAUAAGGAUAAUU